This 292-nucleotide ribosomal RNA is filed under the name uncultured bacterium. Its description in RNAcentral is "partial 16S ribosomal RNA". It matches the Rfam family "Bacterial small subunit ribosomal RNA", at positions 505 to 796 of the family's 1533-position model. The record is from RNAcentral.
GUGUCAGCAGCCGCGGUAAUACGUAGGCAGCGAGCGUUGUUCGGAGUUACUGGGCGUAAAGGGUGCGUAGGCGGUUGUUUAAGUUUGGUGUGAAAUCUCCCGGCUCAACUGGGAGGGUGCGCCGAAUACUGAAUGACUAGAGUGCGGGAGAGGAUAGUGGAAUUCCUGGUGUAGCGGUGAAAUGCGUAGAUAUCAGGAGGAACACCGGUGGUGUAGACGGCUAUCUGGACCGUAACUGACGCUGAGGCACGAAAGCGUGGGUAGCAAACAGGAUUAGAUACCCUCGUAGUCC